Molecule: ribosomal RNA, 274 nt
Filed under: uncultured bacterium
Lineage: Bacteria
Description: partial 16S ribosomal RNA
Rfam family: Archaeal small subunit ribosomal RNA
Source: RNAcentral
AUACCAGCUCUCCGAGUGGUAGGGGUGAUUAUUGGGCUUAAAGCGUCCGUAGCCGGCCUGGCAAGUCUUCCGUUAAAUCCAGCAACCUAAUUGUUGGGCUGCGGGGGAUACUGUUAGGCUUGGGGGCGGGAGAGGCCGACGGUAUUCUCGGGGUAGGGGUGAAAUCUUAUAAUCCCGGGAGGACCACCAGUGGCGAAGGCUGUCGGCUAGCACGCGCCUGACGGUGAGGGACGAAAGCUGGGGGAGCGAACCGGAUUAGAUACCCGAGUAGUCC